This 69-nucleotide transfer RNA is filed under the name Marmota monax (woodchuck). RNAcentral's name for it is "tRNA.Val". Lineage: Eukaryota; Metazoa; Chordata; Mammalia; Rodentia; Sciuridae. The record is from RNAcentral.
GGGAUGUAGCUCAGUGGUAAAGUGCUUGCCUGACAUGCACAAGAGGGCUGGGUUCAAUCUCCAGCCCUG